GUGCAGGUAUUGUGAAGACCGAAGCGGAGGACAACAGCAAAAAUAGCAGGCUGUAUGUAUAAGUGUAUAAGUUUGCCGUUCAAGGCUGUGACAGGGAUGGCAGGACUUUCCACGCCCUUCCCAAGGAAUUGUCAGCAGGCGUGUCUCAUGUUCAUCUUUAACGGCCCAACGUCUCACACCACGUUCUGGGGGACGCACGUCGGCUGGCUCACCUCGAUCACCUCCUUCCUCAUGUCAACAAUGCGGAACCAGUGGGCCAGGCGGGCGGCACGAAAGAUGAAGCCAAGCGAGGCGGCGGGAGGGGAAAACCUCCGCGGGAACAAGCUCAGCGGCGCAAAACUUCAACGCACUCUUCGAGGAACAUGGCGACGCAAACAGAGCUGUCAGCUCACAGGGAGGCGGAGGAAGAAUGGCUCCCGUAACCUAGGUUGAAACUCAGGGCUUAAAAACGGGCAAAGCAGGCUGCUGUGUCUCUCUUGACCUCUGCAGACACCAAGACCUCAAGGGCCAAGCCCACACCCCAUCGCAGGCCCUUCUCUGACCUUCUGACCUCUCAUCUUGUCUUUCCUGAACUUACCUCUAUUCCUGCAAGCAGAUAAAACCACUGUCUCUAAUUCGCAUCACCGUCCAGAAAAUCAUACCCAUACACCCCAUAAACAUACAACAAACCUUGUCUGCUUUAUAAAAUCUUUCUCCUCUCCAAAAUAGGCCUACAGCAUGGGAAAGUAUAUAAGCUUGCUGCAAUAUUAGUUUUAAGAAUAUUUUUUUUGCCCAUUGAAUUGUACAGCUAUGUAAUUAUGCUAGAUAACGGCGAUAGAAAAGCAUUACUUAUACUCACAAAAAGCAAUGUCUUCUCAGAAGAGGUAACCGGGAGCCAGAAGCAUGAACUCCCAAGAACAUUCUGAGAGAUUUUCCCCCCAUAAUCCACUGUGAAGCAGCCCUGAACCACUAAGGCACAACAAGACCACCAACCAUCUACAGAUGAUGGUGUCUGGUGGUUAGAUAUGGCGCCAAGCGGGGAUUUUUAAGAUGUGUUAGAAGAUCUUACUCAGAGAAACGAUAAUAAAAGCUUUCCUUGCUGUGGGCUGGCAUAACUGUCAUUACUAAAAUAGUCACGAAAGCUACGACAUUCUUCUACAGACUGAUUAGAUGAGAGCUGUGUAAAAACACCUGCUAGUUUAAAAGAUGACCAAAGGGGUCCUUCGGUCAUGAAAACGCCUUCCAAACCGCAAGCGAAUCAAAACACCAUAACAAAAACCGGUCUUCCGGAACAUCCAAUGGACCUCAAAUCCAAAAUAUCACUGUUUCCUUAUAUUACACACACUAUGGAUGCAACAUUACAUAGCUACAAAAACAACGGCACCAAUCUCAAAUACUGGAACUACAGCUACCUCCAAACUUUAAUGCAGACAACCAGUCUUACUGGCAUGUAAACACCAGAUUUGUGCUGAAAAACAAAAUAAGCUGUUACAAUUGAUGGCUGUGAUUCUGUACAAGAUUGUCACCUAAGAACAUCAAACACCUUGGACCUUCUUGAGAACGUUGUGGUUUGCAGAAAAGGGAACAUGCAGCCCCAAUAAUGUUGAUAACAAGAAACAGAGAUGC
Long non-coding RNA from Brienomyrus brachyistius, 1605 nucleotides. RefSeq lists it as uncharacterized. NCBI's taxonomy places the organism in Eukaryota, Metazoa, Chordata, Actinopteri, Osteoglossiformes, Mormyridae. The record is from RefSeq and is a predicted model, not a curated record. The transcript is spliced from 3 exons.